AGUGAACGCUGGCGGUAGGCCUAACACAUGCAAGUCGAACGGCAGCACAGUAAGAGCUUGCUCUUACGGGUGGCGAGUGGCGGAUGGGUGAGGAAUACAUCGGAAUCUACUUUUUCGUGGGGGAUAACGUAGGGAAACUUACGCUAAUACCGCAUACGACCUACGGGUGAAAGCAGGGGAUCUUCGGACCUUGCGCGAUUGAAUGAGCCGAUGUCGGAUUAGCUAGUUGGCGGGGUAAGGGCCCACCAAGGCGACGAUCCGUAGCUGGUCUGAGAGGAUGAUCAGCCACACUGGAACUGAGACACGGUCCAGACUCCUACGGGAGGCAGCAGUGGGGAAUAUUGGACAAUGGGCGCAAGCCUGAUCCAGCCAUACCGCGUGGGUGAAGAAGGCCUUCGGGUUGUAAAGCCCUUUUGUUGGGAAAGAAAAGCAGCAGGUUAAUACCCCGCUGUUCUGACGGUACCCAAAGAAUAAGCACCGGCUAACUUCGUG
This 492-nucleotide ribosomal RNA is filed under the name uncultured bacterium. RNAcentral describes it as "partial 16S ribosomal RNA". It matches the Rfam family "Bacterial small subunit ribosomal RNA", at positions 29 to 507 of the family's 1533-position model. The record is from RNAcentral.